UGGGGAAUCUUGGACAAUGGGGGCAACCCUGAUCCAGCCAUGCCGCGUGAGUGAUGAAGGCCUUAGGGUCGUAAAGCUCUUCGCCUGUGAAGAUAAUGACGGUAGCAGGUAAAGAAACCCCGGCUAACUCCGUGCCAGCAGCCGCGGUAAUACGGAGGGGGUUAGCGUUGUUCGGAAUUACUGGGCGUAAAGCGCACGUAGGCGGAUCGGAAAGUUGGGGGUGAAAUCCCGGGGGCUCAACCCCGGAACUGCCUCCAAAACUAUCGGUCUAGAGUUCGAGAGAGGUGAGUGGAAUUCCAAGUGUAGAGGUGAAAUUCGUAGAUAUUUGGAGGAACACCAGUGGCGAAGGCGGCUCACUGGCUCGAUACUGACGCUGAGGUGCGAAAGUGUGGGGAGCAAACAGGAUUAGAUACCCUGGUAGUCCACACCGUAAACGAUGAAUGCCAGUCGUCGGGUAGCAUGCUAUUCGGUGACACACCUAACGGAUUAAGCAUUCCGCCUGGGGAGUACGGUCGC
Molecule: ribosomal RNA, 516 nt
Filed under: uncultured bacterium
Lineage: Bacteria
Description: bacterial SSU rRNA
Rfam family: Bacterial small subunit ribosomal RNA
Source: RNAcentral